RNAcentral lists this transfer RNA (73 nucleotides) under Paramuricea clavata. It matches the Rfam family "tRNA". Rfam says of the family: Transfer RNA (tRNA) molecules are approximately 80 nucleotides in length. Their secondary structure includes four short double-helical elements and three loops (D, anti-codon, and T loops). The record is from Rfam by way of RNAcentral. Lineage: Eukaryota; Metazoa; Cnidaria; Anthozoa; Malacalcyonacea; Plexauridae.
GACCGCAUAGCUCAGUUGGCAGAGCAUUGGGCUAGUACUCCAAUGGUCGCAGGUUCGAAUCCCACCGUGGCCA